UUCCCGCCCUCCGCUCCGCUCCGCCCCGCUGUCCCUUCCGCGCUCCGGCCCCGCUCGGCCCCGUGCGCGUUAUGGCUUCGGUGGCGAACCCCGGGCAGGGCGGCUCCGCGCCGCCCCUCGCUGUCCAACGCGGUAUCGUUAAGAUGGUGCUUUCGGGCUGUGCCAUCAUCGUCCGGGGGCAACCACGUGGAGGACCCCCCCCGAACGUCAGAUCAACCUCAGCAACAUCCGUGCAGGCAGCCUGGCACGCCGCGCCGCUGCCGGGCAGCCCGAUGCCAGGGAUACACCGGAUGAGCCCUGGGGCUUCCCGGCCCGUGAAUUCCUGCGGAAGAAACUGAUUGGGAAGGAGGUGUGCUUCACUGUGGAGUACAAGACCCCCCAGGGCAGGGAAUACGGCAUGGUGUACCUGGGUAAAGACACGAGUGGUGAGAACAUCGCCGAGUCGCUGGUGGCAGAGGGGCUGGCAUCGCGCCGGGAGGGGAUCCGCGCCAACAAGUAUGUAUGAACCCCAGCUUGGUGAUG
Meleagris gallopavo (turkey) is the source of this 522-nucleotide non-coding RNA. NCBI's taxonomy places the organism in Eukaryota, Metazoa, Chordata, Aves, Galliformes, Phasianidae. The record is from RefSeq and is a predicted model, not a curated record.